Long non-coding RNA from Rhododendron vialii, 2210 nucleotides. RefSeq lists it as uncharacterized. The transcript is spliced from 2 exons. The record is from RefSeq and is a predicted model, not a curated record. Lineage: Eukaryota; Viridiplantae; Streptophyta; Magnoliopsida; Ericales; Ericaceae.
UUUCUUUAUGAGAAAGGAAAAUUACAGUACUUUGACCAUUUUACUAUUUAUUAAGGUCAUUAGUGAGAUACUCCAACUCCAGAAACCUUUUGUUUAAUUCUCUCACUAAGAAAAACAUCAUUCGACUCUUUUGAGAAAAAAAAUUUGUACUUAAGGGUGUGUUUUACCACUUGGUGCAUUCACGGAGUGACCUCAUAUGGCCUACAGUGCUGUUGUCGGGCACUUCCCACCACAUACUUUGUUAUAGAGCCCACACUAAUAUGCGGUAGAAAGGAAUCUCGGAGAGAAUUAAGCGGCGGUGCUCGUCGGGCACUUAUCAAUUUGAUGGAGGAGCAAGGAUUUCUUGAAAUAAUUACGAUGUGGCGAGACGAAUUCCUCUAACUCAAGUCCCCACCAUCUUUGAAUGAUAGCACCUUUAUCAAUUUGAUGGAGGAAAGAUUUCCUGAAAUAAUCACGACGUGGCGAGACGGAUUCCUCUAACUCAAGUCCCCACUAUCUUCGAAUGAUAGCACCUUCCAUCGCGUGAAGUCGCAACCUUGACAAGUCUGCACUCAAUCAAUCUCCAGGAACUGGCUGCAAGUGCACCACUUUGAAUGCAUCUUUUGGUUUUCCAACUCUUUUUUAUUAUCAGCUUUUGGUUUUCCAACUUAAUGACUUAAUAAGCCGUUUUGGCCAAUAACAUAGCUGUCAAAUUAUGAAUCAAAUCCAGAAUUGAAAUGAUCCUUUAUCGAAUGGUGAAUCUAACUGAAUCACUCCCGUUCGGUCAUGUUUUCCACUACAUGAAAAAAAAAAAUGGACAAUUUUGGAUUUGGAUGACAGAAAUAGGAAAGUAUAUUGCCCUUGUAGGCUUGAAUCAAAAAAAAAAAAAAAAAACUUAUUUUCAAUGAUGAAAUGACAAUCACGUAAUCUAAUCGGUAAGAGCUUGUGCUACAACUCCUAAUAUUGCCCUUUUUAAACAAAGAGUUAAAAGUUCAAACCACCCUUUGAAGGCCUUUUGUUGUAUAUCAUCCCAUCUUUGAAUAGUAAUCCUAAAGACCUUAAAAAGUAAGUUUGAGCCCUUUCCAACAAAAUAAAUGCAAGACAAAAAAAAGAGAGCUGACAAUCGAAUUUACUAACUCCAACAAUCACUGAUUCGAUUAAACCGAUUUACCAAUUCGAAUCAUCGAUUCACCAACAAUUCACAACUUCUACCGAUUCAUGCAACCUAUUCAUACGGAUAACCUAAUGGAUCGUAUUGAAGCGUAGAACACAAAUAAUAAAUUGUAGGAUACGCUAACAACUACGGCUAAUAAUGCAGGGUUUAAUAGUUCUCCACUAAUUGAUGAAUGGCACCAAUCUCAGGGUAAAGAUUUCCCAAGAUGCAGCCUUCCCAAGUCUAUAUUCCGAAAAAGGGAGUACCAGAUAUGUAUGCUUAGUGAAGAAAUCAUGAUUAAUUUGAUGUUUUGCAAGUAAUGAUUGAGCAUUUAAUCAAAGGAAUAUGAAUAUGAUUCAGCUGUCAUGAGCUCAAGGUGUAUGUAACUAAUCACCAUACCUUUCCCACAUAAUAAAAUUUAGUGACAAGGAAAUAGUGGGAUGAUAUCUGUGCUUGUGGACAAAUAUGGUAAACUUCAACAGGUGACACUAUUCAGGAAUUGUGUGUGCGCGCCCGCGCUCGCAUGAGAGAGAGAGAGAGAGAGAGAGAGAGAGAGAGAGAGAGAGAGAGAGAGAGAGACCUAAAAUAGUGGCCUAGGACCUAUGGAAACAAGUAUAAAAAGCCUGUUGGUGUAGGCUGCAACAAUUCACAAAAGAAAACACACACACACAGAGAUGGUGAGGGAGAUGAAAGAGGUGAUUACUUGGGAUGGUAGAGGUAAGGUGCAUCCAAGGACAAAACCUCUGCAGCAGACUCAAGUCAGGUUUAUGGCAGUGGUUGCGCCGCCGAGUGUGGUGGUGCAUGUGGUGGAUGACUUUACCAUCACCAAUCCUCUUAAAAAGAAGCCUCAAAAGAGAGGCCAAUGAUCCCGUUUUCCACCAUUGCUAAAAAUUGAAAGCAAGUUCUCCCAAAACAACUUCAACUCUUCAAUGAUCUUAGAUAUUUGAGAAACAUUUUCGCUACAAAUGGGUAGAAGAAACAAGUUCCAAGGAACUUUGAUGCGUUUAAGGGAGACUGCAAAUGUAAGCAUUCUGCAAUAGUUUUUACAAGUGUUUUAAGGAUUGAUUAGCUCGUAUUA